RNAcentral lists this ribosomal RNA (404 nucleotides) under Actinomycetes bacterium. Its description in RNAcentral is "Actinobacteria bacterium partial 16S ribosomal RNA". It matches the Rfam family "Bacterial small subunit ribosomal RNA", at positions 355 to 776 of the family's 1533-position model. Lineage: Bacteria; Bacillati; Actinomycetota; Actinomycetes. The record is from RNAcentral.
UGGGGAAUAUUGGACAAUGGGCGCAAGCCUGAUCCAGCCAUGCCGCGUGAGUGAUGAAGGCCCUAGGGUUGUAAAGCUCUUUCACCGGUGAAGAUAAUGACGGUAACCGGAGAAGAAGCCCCGGCUAACUUCGUGCCAGCAGCCGCGGUAAUACGAAGGGGGCUAGCGUUGUUCGGAUUUACUGGGCGUAAAGCGCACGUAGGCGGACUAUUAAGUCAGGGGUGAAAUCCCGGGGCUCAACCCCGGAACUGCCUUUGAUACUGGUAGUCUUGAGUUCGAGUGAGGUGAGUGGAAUUCCGAGUGUAGAGGUGAAAUUCGUAGAUAUUCGGAGGAACACCAGUGGCGAAGGCGGCUCACUGGCUCGACACUGACGCUGAGGUGCGAAAGCGUGGGGAGCAAACAGG